GAGCAAAACAGGAAGUGCAGAAGGAAAAUAAAGGAAGCAGAAUAUGAAGACCUUGUUUCUAGCUUCAGCUAAACACUACUACUGGUAUCAUUCCUUUACUAAUUCAGAGGAUCAGGAACGAAAUGAUAUUUUGGUAUAAAGUGCAUGCCAGUAUACAAGGUCUAACGACGUUUGUGUCAGUGUCAUGGCUACGUGGUGCAGACUACAGUGUUUGAGUCUUGAUGUGAUACACGGCCCGUUUUGAUGACCAUAUUAGUUGUGGAGUUUGAAUGAGGCGAUACAUCCGUAAAAUGGUAACGCGAUUGCCAUAUANNNNNNNNNNCCGGUAUAGAAACCUGAAGUAGGGUAAACCAGCAAAAGUUUAUUUGUUUUUGGUUUUCAAUACGAAUACAGACCAUGAAAGUGUGGCCUAUCGAUCCUUUUGAGUACUGUUUUCAGAAUUUUAAGACAAAGGUGUCAGAAAAGUUAAC
This 470-nucleotide non-coding RNA is filed under the name Trichobilharzia regenti. RNAcentral's name for it is "Eukaryotic large subunit ribosomal RNA". It matches the Rfam family "Eukaryotic large subunit ribosomal RNA", at positions 2426 to 2819 of the family's 3401-position model. Lineage: Eukaryota; Metazoa; Platyhelminthes; Trematoda; Strigeidida; Schistosomatidae. The record is from Rfam by way of RNAcentral.